Ictalurus punctatus (channel catfish) is the source of this 1595-nucleotide long non-coding RNA. NCBI's taxonomy places the organism in Eukaryota, Metazoa, Chordata, Actinopteri, Siluriformes, Ictaluridae. The record is from Ensembl.
CCCAGUAUUAACCCUGGUUAAAAGUCAAGAGACUUGCAACAGGGCACCUUUAAAUCUUAAAAUAAAUUCCACAGACCCCCUCAGUAUUAUUUUGCAAAUAAAUUACUCAAAAAAUUAACAUGUAUUAUGUGUAAAAUAAAUGUAGCUAUUUUAUUGGAGCCAGACAUAUAAAUUUUCUGAAAUUUUCAUGGAACUCGGGUUUGUGCUAUUAAAUUAGAUUUCAGUUGACAUGAUUUAUAGUCAUAAUAACUUUUAUAAUGUUGGAUAGCGAUUUCUAUCUCUGUAAUAAAAAUGAUAAAAUCAUGGACCCUGUGGCUAGGCUUCAUACACCCCUGGGGGUCCCUGGUCCCCACUUUAAAGACUAUAGCUAUACUAUACAAUUAGAAAAUCUGUUAAGAUAUGUAAGAAAUGAUUACGAUUAAGUGAACUGAGAAAUGCCUGUGACUUUUUAUUUUAUUGGAUAAAAAUCCAGAUGUGACUGGAAAAGCCCAAUGUGGAUCAUUUUAAUUAGGUACUUGCAGAACAGUUCCUAAAACUGUCUAAUAUCAAAUGUAAAACAAAUCUGGACUUAAAGUAACUUACAUUCUGCCUUUAAUAAAGGCAUCAUUUCGCGUCUCAUUACAAUCUGUAAUGAGUGGGUCGAUGAAGAAAUAAAUUAGUCCCUAAAUACCAGCAUUAGUUCUUAAAUACUAGUACAAGAAAGAAAUCCUCUAAAGCUAAGACGCCUUCAAAAAUAAUGAACGGAGCUAUUUAUUGACUGAAAGCAGUAAACAGUAAUGAACUAUAAACCAAAUCGAUAUUUGGCAUGCCCACACAUAGCCUUUAAAACUGCAUCAGUUCUCUCAGGUUUGCUUCUGCAGUUUUAUAAGGAGACAAUGUAGUAAUUUUUCCCAUGUGACGUGUCUAAUGUUAAUUAAGACGUGGAAGUAUCCAGCCCAAAAAUGUCCUCAAGUGAAAAUCAAAAAAGUUCUUAUGUUUAAAUCUAAUCAAGUAUUAAAAAGCAUACGUUUUUAGCUGAUGAAAUUAAGUAGGUCAGUGCAGAUGAGAAAUGGCUACGAUUCUUUAUCGGGAUUUUUCUACACUGAUGAGUUUUGAUUAGAAACUUGGAACUGAAACAUUGUUCUGUUGUAUACUGCACAGUUCAUUGGCUAGACGAGGGAAGAACAGACUGUCGUGAUUUGUAACGGGUACACUGAAGGUCUAAGAUUGUACAACUACUGCUAGUCAAUAUCAAUAACACUCAGGUAAUGUAUAAAUACUGUGAGGGGGUAAAAAAAAUUAUUUUUAUUAUCUAUGUGGGAACCCCACAAUGAUGGGAAUAUCUGACCAUUUUGAUCUUGUGGGGACAUUUGGAUGGUCCCCAGUAGGAAAACUGGGGUUAGAAAAUCUGCAAAAAAAUUUUUAAAAAGCUAAACGGCAAAAUAUUUUUGCAUUGGUCACUGAAAUUAAAGUUACGUUUAGGGAAAUUAGCUGCAUUAUUAAUAAUGUCAAAGGAAGGUCCUCAUAAGUACACUACAUUAUGACAAAUAUGUGUCUGUCUCUCUCUCUGUGUGUGUGUGUGUGUGUGUGUGUGUGUGUGUGUGUGUGUGUGUGUG